Molecule: long non-coding RNA, 373 nt
Organism: Clarias gariepinus (North African catfish)
Lineage: Eukaryota; Metazoa; Chordata; Actinopteri; Siluriformes; Clariidae
Exons: 4
Source: RefSeq, a predicted model, not a curated record
CCCGAGUCUCCACAGAUUCAUAAAAUCAAUACACAAUUGCAGGAUGCUUUCAUUCUUACUCAUCAUCUGUCUGUUGGUCUCUGGAACUAAUGCACACCAUACCCAUGGAUGGAAAUCAUCAUCGAGCAAUGAGAGGUUUUACUUCCAUCAUUACCCUGUACAGCAGCCUACAUGGUAUGACAUCCUGUGGCAAUUCUAUCCAUGGAUUCUACCUGGCCCCGCCCCUGGCCCCGCCCCUGCUCCAAACCCCGCCCCUGGGCCCACACCUGGACCAUCUCCUGUCACUUCAAUCCGUGGAGACAACGGUUAGAUCUCAUCUCGUCUCAGAUCCGUCCUGGCCAAACUAUAGAGAAAAAAACAACUUUGAGUUCAC